This 820-nucleotide ribosomal RNA is filed under the name uncultured bacterium. RNAcentral's name for it is "bacterial SSU rRNA". It matches the Rfam family "Bacterial small subunit ribosomal RNA", at positions 8 to 807 of the family's 1533-position model. The record is from RNAcentral.
AGAGUUUGAUCCUGGCUCAGAUUGAACGCUGGCGGCGUGCUUAACACAUGCAAGUCGUGCGAGAAAGGGGACUUCGGUCCCUGAGUAGAGCGGCGCACGGGUGAGUAACGCGUGGGUGAUCUACCCGGAAGUCUGGGAUAACGGUGGGAAACUGCCGCUAAUACCGGUUAAUCUUCCAAUUCGAAUUGGAGGGAAAGACGGCCUCUGCUUGCAAGCUGUCGCUUUCGGAUGAGCCCGCGUCCCAUUAGCUCGUUGGCGGGGUAACGGCCCACCAAGGCAACGAUGGGUAGCUGGUCUGAGAGGAUGAUCAGCCACACUGGGACUGGAACACGGCCCAGACUCCUACGGGAGGCAGCAGUGGGGAAUAUUGCGCAAUGGGGGAAACCCUGACGCAGCGACGCCGUGUGAGGGAAGAAGGCCUUCGGGUCGUAAACCUCUGUCGGGAGGGAAGAACCGCCGGGUUCCGAACAGGGACUCGGCCUGACGGUACCUCCGAAGGAAGCGCCGGCUAACUCCGUGCCAGCAGCCGCGGUAAUACGGAGGGCGCAAGCGUUAAUCGGAAUCACUGGGCGUAAAGCGCGCGUAGGCGGCCAGAUAAGUCGGGCGUGAAAGCCCUCGGCUCAACCGAGGAACUGCGUUCGAUACUGUUUGGCUUGAGUCCUGGAGAGGGUGGCGGAAUUCCGGGUGUAGGAGUGAAAUCCGUAGAUAUCCGGAGGAACACCGGUGGCGAAGGCGGCCACCUGGACAGGUACUGACGCUGAGGUGCGAAAGCGUGGGGAGCAAACCAGGAUUAGAUACCCUGGUAGUCCACGCUGUAAAC